RNAcentral lists this ribosomal RNA (465 nucleotides) under Vreelandella stevensii. RNAcentral's name for it is "partial 16S ribosomal RNA". It matches the Rfam family "Bacterial small subunit ribosomal RNA", at positions 338 to 795 of the family's 1533-position model. The record is from RNAcentral. Lineage: Bacteria; Pseudomonadati; Pseudomonadota; Gammaproteobacteria; Oceanospirillales; Halomonadaceae.
CCUACGGGAGGCUGCAGUGGGGAAUAUUGGACAAUGGGGGGAACCCUGAUCCAGCCAUGCCGCGUGUGUGAAGAAGGCCCUCGGGUUGUAAAGCACUUUCAGUGAGGAAGAACGCCUGGUGGUUAAUACCCAUCAGGAAAGACAUCACUCACAGAAGAAGCACCGGCUAACUCCGUGCCGGCAGCCGCGGUAAUACGGAGGGUGCGAGCGUUAAUCGGAAUUACUGGGCGUAAAGCGCGCGUAGGUGGCUUGAUAAGCCGGUUGUGAAAGCCCCGGGCUCAACCUGGGAACGGCAUCCGGAACUGUCAAGCUAGAGUGCAGGAGAGGAAGGUAGAAUUCCCGGUGUAGCGGUGAAAUGCGUAGAGAUCGGGAGGAAUACCAGUGGCGAAGGCGGCCUUCUGGACUGACACUGACACUGAGGUGCGAAAGCGUGGGUAGCAAACAGGAUUAGAUACCCGUGUAGUC